Molecule: ribosomal RNA, 231 nt
Filed under: uncultured bacterium
Lineage: Bacteria
Description: partial 16S ribosomal RNA
Rfam family: Bacterial small subunit ribosomal RNA
Source: RNAcentral
CCCCUAAAACGACCAUCCCACGUUCGGAUCGCAGGCUGCAACCCGCCUGCGUGAAGUUGGAAUCGCUAGUAAUCGCGGAUCAGCAUGCCGCGGUGAAUACGUUCCCGGGCCUUGUACACACCGCCCGUCACACCAUGAGAGUCGGGAACACCCGAAGUCCGUAGCCUAACAGCAAUGGGGGCGCGGCCGAAGGUGGGUUCGAUAAUUGGGGUGAAGUCGUAACAAGGUACC